GAUGAAGAACGCAGCGAAAUGCGAUAAGUAAUGUGAAUUGCAGAAUUCAGUGAAUCAUCGAAUCUUUGAACGCACAUUGCGCCCGCCAGUAUUCUGGCGGGCAUGCCUGUUCGAGCGUCAUUACAACCCUCAGGCCCCCGGGCCUGGCGUUGGGGAUCGGCGGAAGCCCCCUGCGGGCACAACGCCGUCCCCCAAAUACAGUGGCGGUCCCGCCGCAGCUUCCAUUGCGUAGUAGCUAACACCUCGCAACUGGAGAGCGGCGCGGCCACGCCGUAAAACACCCAACUUCUGAAUGUUGACCUCGAAUCAGGUAGGAAUACCCGCUGGACUUAAGCAUAUCAAUAAGCGGAGGA
RNAcentral lists this unclassified non-coding RNA (353 nucleotides) under soil metagenome. RNAcentral describes it as "partial contains 5.8S ribosomal RNA, internal transcribed spacer 2, and large subunit ribosomal RNA". The stretch from base 1 to 120 matches the Rfam family "5.8S ribosomal RNA", at positions 35 to 154 of the family's 154-position model. The record is from RNAcentral.